Encephalitozoon romaleae SJ-2008 is the source of this 74-nucleotide non-coding RNA. NCBI's taxonomy places the organism in Eukaryota, Fungi, Microsporidia, Unikaryonidae. The record is from the annotation of a RefSeq genome assembly.
GUCCUGGUAGCUCAGUCGGUUAGAGCGUCGUGCUAAUAACGCGAAGGUCCGGGGUUCGAGCCCCUGUCAGGACA